Molecule: long non-coding RNA, 1447 nt
Organism: Anopheles arabiensis
Lineage: Eukaryota; Metazoa; Arthropoda; Insecta; Diptera; Culicidae
Exons: 3
Source: RefSeq, a predicted model, not a curated record
GCCGUACACAAACAGCUAGGAUGGGUUGAUUUUAUUUCCCAUAUUCUUUCGUAGCUUUGCUUCUUAUCUUAGCUUGGCCUAGCGUUUGAGUCGGGAGGAUGGAAAUGUUUUUUGUUAAUCCAUAGCCAUAACAUGGCGUGAGACCGUGAGCGUUUUCGGAUACUACUGAGACAGGGCAAGACCGCCAAGCAGUUGUAGCGCCGGAUAAGUAUGUAAGUAUUGAACACAGUAUUUUACAGAGUAUUACAUUUAUAUUUUCAACAAUAUUUCAAGGCCAAGAAGUAUCGAUUAUUGCAAGCUCAGGUUCACGUAACCCAACUGGUUGCAUGAACACAGUUGUUUGUUGAAAUGCUUUGAAGUAUAACAGAAAAACCAAAAUCGAUUACGAGUUGCUUUGCCAGUGGCAGAAUCGCGCACCAUCAGCAGAUUUACGAAUCGAGCAGAUAUCACGUCAUACAAUUAGACGCCAAAGUUGCGGUCACCCGGCCAGAUUGUGUCGCCAGUCAUAUGGCAGCACGGAGCACGGAUGUGGGGAGGAGAAAUUGGCCUCACCCCAUCAGGGGAGGGUCACUCGCACAGUUCAAGCUGUGCGCGGUCGUACCAGGUCGGCAGAGCGGUCGACGGGAGCGGCAAAAACCAGCAUCACCAGAAAAAAGGCAAAGAAAUGGUUUCGUUCUGCGAUUUGCCAGCGACGCGCAACGCAACACUGGCGCACUGUGAACCCGCGAACCGUUUCGCAACCCCGAGUUUGUGCCUUUUGCGUGGUCCCGCUCACCCGCCGAAAUGACACCCGCCGGUAAAGCAAAACCCACUUGCCGUUCGGGCGCACCCUUUCCUCAGCACAAUCCCUUGGGUCCCCACGAUCAGGUCAACCGUACUUCCUAGUAGGACCGUAGCAAAAGGGAAAAGAUCCGAAAAGCCGAAAGUCGCGGCACCCGGGUUGGACGCGAUGCGAGAAGAAGCAGAAUAAGUGGAAUGUUGUUGCCCUGCUACGGAGGUGUUUGUGUAGGUCGAAAGGUUGAAGAUCGCUCAGGUCUCUGGUACGGGAGAACGAGCUCAACAAACUGUGAGACGGCUAGAGCUAACAUGCCUUGCGGUUAUACUACGCCGACAACGACGACGACAACGACGGAAAAGAUGAUGAUGAUGAUGAUGAUGAUGAUGACGGUGCCGACGUUAAAGGCGUAGAACGAAAGCACCGAUCCCUAAACUUGUUGAUUUUUUGCUCCAUGUUCCAAUUGUGACCUAUCCGAUCGGUCAAAACAUUGGUAAAAAAUAGAAGCUGCUUGAUGAUCUCCGUUGGCAAAGGGCUUUCCGAGUAGAAAUAUCUUUUCAGCUUUUAAGACAUGAAGAGUUAAUUAGCUAUUAAAUUAUAAAAAACAAUAUCAGGAGCAUUUGUAUCAAGAGUAUUUGAGCUGAAAAUAAAAAUGUAAAUGUUUAAACGGAA